GACGAACGCUGGCGGCGUGCUUAACACAUGCAAGUCGAACGGAAAGGCCCUGCUUUUGUGGGGUUCUCGAGUGGCGAACGGGUGAGUAACACGUGAGUAACCUGCCCUUGACUUUGGGAUAACUUCAGGAAACUGGGGCUACUACCGGAUAGGAGCUCCUGCUGCAUGGUGGGGGUUGGAAAGUUUCGGCGGUUGGGGAUGGACUCGCGGCUUAUCAGCUUGUUGGUGGGGUAGUGGCUUACCAAGGCUUUGACGGGUAGCCGGCCUGAGAGGGUGACCGGCCUCAUUGGGACUGAGAUACGGCCCAGACGCCUACGGGAGGCAGCAGUGGGGAAUAUUGCACAAUGGGCGGAAGCCUGAUGCAGCAACGCCGCGUGCGGGAUGACGGCCUUCGGGUUGUAAACCGCUUUCGCCUGUGACGAAGCGUGAGUGACGGUAAUGGGUAAAGAAGCACCGGCUAACUACGUG
Molecule: ribosomal RNA, 468 nt
Filed under: uncultured bacterium
Lineage: Bacteria
Description: partial 16S ribosomal RNA
Rfam family: Bacterial small subunit ribosomal RNA
Source: RNAcentral